UACGUAGGGACCGAGCGUUGUCCGGAAUCAUUGGGCGUAAAGCGCGUGUAGGCGGCCUUUUAAGUCCUGCGUGAAAUCCUGCGGCUCAACCGCAGACGGUCGUGGGAAACUGGAAGGCUAGAGUGCGGGAGAGGAGAGUGGAAUUCCCGGUGUAGCGGUGAAAUGCGCAGAUAUCGGGAAGAACACCCGUGGCGAAGGCGGCUCUCUGGAACGCAACUGACGCUGAGACGCGAAAGCGUGGGGAGCAAACAGG
Molecule: ribosomal RNA, 253 nt
Filed under: uncultured bacterium
Lineage: Bacteria
Description: partial 16S ribosomal RNA
Rfam family: Bacterial small subunit ribosomal RNA
Source: RNAcentral